GAUUUUUUUUCUUUUUUCAAAAUAUUAAUUUUAUUAAUUCUAAAACAAUUUUUUUAUAAAAUAGUUUUAUUUGUCUGCGUCACAAUACGUCUUUGAGACAACAUUUUCAAUAUAACAAGUAAUUAAACAACCGGUUCCAUCAUUGAUUAUUAAAUAGUUAAUCUGGAUAAUUGAACCAACACUUUAAUAUUUUAGUAAGUUCGGAAAGCAGUAUUUAGGAACUUAGAAACAAUUGCGACAUUCGCAGAACUUUUUAUCUGCCGCACAUUUUGAGAAUCGAUAACCGUUGAAAUAUUUAGGUCCUCCGCAAACCUCUUGGCAUAAUUGAUCUCCAUUUAAUUUAUGACAUGCUCCAGGCAGCGCUUUUAUAUAAACCGGAUCACACGGUCUUCCAUCUGGUGGCAGCGGUGUCGGAGGAGUUUGUGGCUUUGCAGGAUUCUUUGGUUUUGGUUUCACUGGAAAAAAAAACUAGUAGUUUAGUAAUCGAUAAAUAGAAAGUACUGAAAUUAAAAGGUAUAUUUACAAUAAAUGCAUUUAAUUUGAUUAGAUCCUGAUAGAAACAUCCCUAGCUAUUUAAUUGUGUUGGCAUGGAUUUGUUUAAGUCAUAUUUUGUUAGCCACGCAUUUGUAAUAU
Molecule: long non-coding RNA, 633 nt
Filed under: Capsella grandiflora
Lineage: Eukaryota; Viridiplantae; Streptophyta; Magnoliopsida; Brassicales; Brassicaceae
Description: long non-coding RNA (CGRA_LNC001652)
Source: RNAcentral